UCGUUUUUUUUUUCAAUUAUUUUCAAUGGUGAUAAGAUCGGGCCCAGCUCUCAUCCUUCUUCCAGCUUCGGACGGAGGCAAAGGCCUUUCCCCCCCGAAGCCCGGCCUGGCUUGUAUUCCUCGCUCUGAGGCCUCUCUGCCUCUGAGGAUCAUGUACCUGCGAUGAACAUUCGCAGGAAGAGGUGGGCGGUGGAAAGAACAUUCGCUGCAGCAGAGAGGCCAACCUAGUCUCCUCCCGGAAGAGGCUUUCCAACUGUGUAUGUAGAUUAUUUGGAAGAAUCCCACUUAUCCAUCGCUUCCGCCACCGCCACCGCCACCGCCACCUUCAUCCUCCAUUGUUGCCGCCUGCAUCCGCCAUCGCCUGUCACACAAUUGCCGUCUUUCAGCAACCGUCUGCCGCCACUAACCGCCGUUCGUCCGUCGACCCCCAGUCCGAGUCAUCUGAAACCGCUGGUUCCACGCCAGUCUACCCAUUCAACCAGGUCAAAUGGUCAAUGCCAACUAGUGGUAAAAAAGUAAAUGUCGGUCAGCUAUUCACGAAGAGGUGGAGGUGGGCGGAGGAAAGAGUAUUUUCUUCAUUUAAUAUUUUAUCUUGCUUGCAAUACUGUCGUUGUGUGUUAGAUAGGUCUCUUCAUUUUCAUAGCUGGUUAUUAGUAAAAAAUGAUAGCCCAGUUGAUUGUAUCUUAUCAACUUAUUGACUAUGGAGCCUUAUUCUAAUCUUUGGUGAUUCAUUAAUCAUGAUGAUUCACUUUUUUGAAAAAUUAAAAGAUUACACUCGAUCAUAUCAUAGCCAACCUUCAUAUUAUUAAUUUCAUUAUUGGAGUCAAGUCUAAGUCACAUAUCUACGGUAACACAGUCAUUCAAUCAUCACGUCCUGCAUCACAACCUCGUCUCCAUGCGUUCCUCAUUCUGCUUCCACUAGAAGAUGAAUGGAGUCCGUUGCAGGACAUUGCUGAGUGGAGAUGGCAACGAAGGUCUUCUCCUUAUCACAAUUCCAAGCUUCGUUGUUGAGAUCCAGGGCCACCGCCUCGCCCACCGGCAUAGCCUAGUCCACCGAGUGAACCAUCCAAUAUGCCUGCUCUGCUUAGGAACCUAUCAAGCUUGAACUCGGAGGAGGCAUCAAGCCCUCUCCACCGUCGUCGACGUGGUGCCUGUCCCUCCGAAAACCAGAUCUUAUCAACCCCGUUCCUCACUGAGGUGAGCAUGGUGCAUGGGCUAUGGUCAAGUGAGUAUCAUAAGGGGGACUAAGAAAUCAAGCGUAUGAAGAUUGUUCUAUAGGAAGACUUUUGUAAUUGGCUAUCUAAAAGAUACUGGUAGAAAAUUUUCGAGGAGAUGAGGAUGAGGAGGUAACAAGGAGAAAGGCCUUCACAUAGUCCAUGGCUAUGAGGGCUUGGGGGUCAGGGUUCUCUCUCUCUCCACAUGCCUCCACCAACGUCAGCCACUCAUCAAUGAAGUAAUUUAAGAUGUGGUUGACUUUGUUGGAUACAUGGCUCAUCAAAUGGCCACGUCUGUGUCAGCUUUGGCAGCAGAUAAUACCUCAUUUAAUGCGGAGGAGAGAGAGAGAGAGGAGAAGAUGAGACGUGUGAAAUGGCUCCAAACAUAGACCAUUUCUCACGCCACUCAACGGCUUAGUAAAAUGGCCCAAGGUGGUUGCUGACACGUUUCCUAAGGCAGCUCAAGAGCCUUACAAAUAAAGGUAAUCUCUUUUCAUCUUAUAACACUAAUGACUAGAGGGUACCAAAUAAGUUAGGAAUAAGUUUCUAGAGUAAUCUCUACUGGUUGGUGAGGGAUUAAUGAGUUCUUUGAGGGCUAAGAUUAAAUAUUUAUAUUUUGAGUUCUAAGGAAUGUUCUUCUAUACUUUUACUAUAUUUAGUGGAACUUUUCAUUACCCAUAGAUGUAAAAAGUCAACCUCUAAAUCACGUAAAUUUUUUAUGUCUCGGAUUAUGAGUUAUUCAUUUCAUUUUUGUAUUCUAGCUUAUAUGCUAAGUACAUAUUAGGAUUUUAUUUUAAGUACAUAUAAGGUAUAUCUUCUCAUUUGUCACAUCAGUCAAAGCUUGUCUCCCUCUCAUCUCAUUCUAUAACGGUGACCCUCCCACAACAUCUCUAUUGUCUUGUUCAUCGCAAUGGUUGACACUAGAUCACCUAUGUAAGGGUGGCCUACUCAACCCCUUUACAAGGGAGGUCCAUGUGAGCCUUUUCUCACCUUUUGGGCUAUCAAUUAUGAAUGUUUUAUGGUUAAAAAACGGCCUAGUCCCUCUUUUGUAAUCUACACUUAAAAAGUGGAGCUUGAGGAAAGAGAAAAACAAAGAGGAAGAUAGAUAAAUCAAAAGCAUGGAAAACCCUUUUUCCUCUCUAGCGGCUGAAGAUAGGAUCUGGACUCCACCCCUUCUCUCUCUCAACCGAUGGCUGGAUUUAUGGCUUCAUUAACUCUAUUUUUGUUGUACCUUGGUCCUCAGACAUUGGAUAUUUUUCUUUCUCCUCAUUCACUACUGCUCAUGAACUGUGUUUAUCUUUUUUAGACCACAAUAAUCAAGAUCUACAUUAUUAUACCCCAUUCUACAUUCUCUAUCAUUUAUCACCUAGUGGACUUGCUCUACUCGUGCUCUCUCAUUUUUACUGUGUUGACAGACCAUUUAUAAGUCUACUAAGAUCUCAAUUCACUCUCUGUACCCCAACAUCUCAGAUUCACGGGCUGACCUGCUUUCCAUCAGAUCUCCUCCGAACCUACCCCCAGAGCAGGAUAGAGAGGCCAUCGAUGGUGGUAGUGCUGGCGCACACGAACUCCGCGAAGUAGACUUGGAGAUCGUUGCCGAGGAAGGGAAGGCUUCCGAGCA
This 2835-nucleotide long non-coding RNA is filed under the name Spirodela polyrhiza (greater duckweed). RNAcentral's name for it is "long non-coding RNA (SPOL_LNC000549)". The record is from RNAcentral. Lineage: Eukaryota; Viridiplantae; Streptophyta; Magnoliopsida; Alismatales; Araceae.